GAUGAACGCUAGCUACAGGCUUAACACAUGCAAGUCGAGGGGCAGCAUGGAAGAAGCUUGCUUCUUCUGAUGGCGACCGGCGCACGGGUGCGUAACGCGUAUCAAACCUGCCUCAUACUCGGGGAUAGCCUUGCGAAAGUAAGAUUAAUACCCGAUGUUGUUAUGUUACCGCAUGGUGACAUAACCAAAGAUUUAUCGGUAUGAGAUGGUGAUGCGUCCGAUUAGGUAGUAGGCGGGGUAACGGCCCACCUAGCCUUCGAUCGGUAGGGGUUCUGAGAGGAAGGUCCCCCACACUGGAACUGAGACACGGUCCAGACUCCUACGGGAGGCAGCAGUGAGGAAUAUUGGUCAAUGGACGAAAGUCUGAACCAGCCAAGUAGCGUGCAGGAUGACGGCCCUCUGGGUUGUAAACUGCUUUUAGUUGGGAAUAAAAAAGAGGACGUGUCCUCUAUUGUAUGACCUCAGAAAAAGACCGC
Molecule: ribosomal RNA, 476 nt
Filed under: Alloprevotella sp. oral taxon 473
Lineage: Bacteria; Pseudomonadati; Bacteroidota; Bacteroidia; Bacteroidales; Prevotellaceae
Description: bacterial SSU rRNA
Rfam family: Bacterial small subunit ribosomal RNA
Source: RNAcentral